AUGUGAACCUUUUUUAUUGUCAACGAUUACGAAUCCUGUAACUGAUAGAAAUUACAUACAAUCAAUCCUUUUAGCGAAAUUUCCAGUCUAAAAAAGGUUCACAUAUGACCAGAUCUAAUGCACAAAAUUUAAACAAAAUAAUGGAAUUUGGGGCCACUUCUCAUUGGAAAAUCAACAACUGCAGAAGGGUUUCUAGAGAA
Molecule: unclassified non-coding RNA, 200 nt
Filed under: Hevea brasiliensis (rubber tree)
Lineage: Eukaryota; Viridiplantae; Streptophyta; Magnoliopsida; Malpighiales; Euphorbiaceae
Source: RNAcentral